AGCGAACGCUGGCGGCAGGCUUAACACAUGCAAGUCGAACGCCCCGCAAGGGGAGUGGCAGACGGGUGAGUAACACGUGGGAACGUACCCUUUGGUUCGGAAUAACUUGGGGAAACUCAAGCUAAUACCGGAUAAGCCCUUAUGGGGAAAGGUUUACUGCCGAAGGAUCGGCCCGCGUCUGAUUAGCUAGUUGGUGAGGUAACGGCUCACCAAGCCGACGAUCAGUAGCGGGUCUGAGAGGAUGAUCAGCCACACUGGGACUGCGACACGGCCCAGACUCCUACGGGAGGCAGCAGUGGGGAAUCUUGGACAAUGGGGGCAACCCUGAUCCAGCCCUGCCGCGUGAGUGUUGAAGGCCUUAGGGUUGUCAAGCUCUAUUACCCGGUACGAUAAUGACUGUACCGGGAGAAUAAGCCCCGGCUAACUUCGUGCCAGCCGCCGCCGUAA
Molecule: ribosomal RNA, 447 nt
Filed under: uncultured bacterium
Lineage: Bacteria
Description: partial 16S ribosomal RNA
Rfam family: Bacterial small subunit ribosomal RNA
Source: RNAcentral